Molecule: ribosomal RNA, 497 nt
Filed under: uncultured bacterium
Lineage: Bacteria
Description: partial 16S ribosomal RNA
Rfam family: Bacterial small subunit ribosomal RNA
Source: RNAcentral
GAUGAACGCUGGCGGCGUGCCUAAUACAUGCAAGUCGAGCGAACGGGCGAGAAGCUUGCUUUUCCGAUGUUAGCGGCGGACGGGUGAGUAACACGUGGAUAACCUACCUAUAAGACUGGGAUAACUUCGGGAAACCGGAGCUAAUACCGGAUAAUAUUUUGAACCGCAUGGUUCAAAAGUGAAAGACGGUCUUGCUGUCACUUAUAGAUGGAUCCGCGCUGCAUUAGCUAGUUGGUAAGGUAACGGCUUACCAAGGCAACGAUGCAUAGCCGACCUGAGAGGGUGAUCGGCCACACUGGAAUUGAGACACGGUCCAGACUCCUACGGGAGGCAGCAGUAGGGAAUCUUCCGCAAAGGGCGAAAGCCUGACGGAGCAACGCCGCGUGAGUGAUGAAGGUCUUCGGAUCGUAAAACUCUGUUAUUAGGGAAGAACAUAUGUGUAAGUAACUGUGCACAUCUUGACGGUACCUAAUCAGAAAGCCACGGCUAACUACGUG